Phrynosoma platyrhinos (Desert horned lizard) is the source of this 72-nucleotide non-coding RNA. The record is from the annotation of a GenBank genome assembly. NCBI's taxonomy places the organism in Eukaryota, Metazoa, Chordata, Lepidosauria, Squamata, Phrynosomatidae.
GCCAGCAUGGUGUAAUGGUAUGAGUGUUAGACUGUGACUCUGGAGAGCAGGGUUUGAAUCCCUGCUCGGUCA